Molecule: ribosomal RNA, 439 nt
Filed under: uncultured bacterium
Lineage: Bacteria
Description: partial 16S ribosomal RNA
Rfam family: Bacterial small subunit ribosomal RNA
Source: RNAcentral
CUACGGGUCGCUCCAGUGAGGAAUAUUGCACAAUGGGGGGAACCCUGAUGCAGCAACGCCGCGUGGAGGAUGACGCAUUUCGGUGUGUAAACUCCUUUUAUAUGUCAAGAAAAUGACGGUAGCAUAUGAAUAAGCACCGGCUAACUCCGUGCCAGCAGCCGCGGUAAUACGGAGGGUGCAAGCGUUACUCGGAAUCACUGGGCGUAAAGGACGCGUAGGCGGGUUGGAAAGUCAGGUGUGAAAUCCUACAGCUUAACUGUAGAACUGCACUUGAAACUUCUAAUCUAGAGUAUGGGAGGGGGAGAUGGAAUUAGUAGUGUAGGGGUAAAAUCCGUAGAUAUUACUAGGAAUAUCAAAAGCGAAGGCGAUCUCCUGGAACAUUACUGACGCUAAGGCGUGAAAGCGUGGGGAGCAAACAGGAUUAGAUACCCGGGUAGUC